Sinocyclocheilus grahami is the source of this 365-nucleotide long non-coding RNA. Ensembl lists it as uncharacterized. The record is from Ensembl. NCBI's taxonomy places the organism in Eukaryota, Metazoa, Chordata, Actinopteri, Cypriniformes, Cyprinidae.
UCAACUUACGCUACUGUGUAUCUGAUGUUUGUAUCACAGGUUUCUCUUGGCUACACAUAACUGCGUUGAUUCUCUGUAUUUUUGCAUCUGGAUCUGCACUUCUCUCCUUGCUUGUUUACUCCAGAACAGGAAAUCAAGAAAAAAGGCUGUGUCUUCAAGUUUGUCUUUUCCUUUGCCUGGAUAUAACUAUGCUGUUGGCUUCAAUCAUAUGGUGUGUUAUUGAAGGUUCUUUGUAUGAGACCGUCUCUUGCUGCAUGCUCUAUAUUCUGGGGCCUCUGAGGUUGUUUUGGGUUAAACCAUUAACCACAGAUUUGCCAGGUUGGUUUUUAAAAUAAAAUGCUGUGUAACACUGUUAAUCAGACAUU